RNAcentral lists this long non-coding RNA (1980 nucleotides) under Anser brachyrhynchus (Pink-footed goose). RNAcentral's name for it is "lncRNA (ENSABRG00000022616.1)". The record is from RNAcentral. Lineage: Eukaryota; Metazoa; Chordata; Aves; Anseriformes; Anatidae.
AUGAGCUGCACCGUGUUCAUGGCGCCCGGGCGCUGCUGCGGGGGGGCCCAGGCCGCCGGGCCCUCCGGCUCCCCCCCGGGGUCCCUGCCCCGCGCCAGGGUCCCCGCUGGCUCCCGGUGCCGGUGGCGGCUCCGCUCCCCGUCCGGCUCCCGGCGCGGCUCCUCUGUGCUCCUGCCCCAGCUCCAGCGUGGGGGGCAGCCGCAGCCGCAGCCACGCAGGGGGCUGGUGCCCGGCUCCGCAUGGCCGCAGCUCGGUGUCCUGGGGGGGCCCUGCAGCCAGAAGGCACAGAGCUGCUGGUGCUGCCACAUGCCAAGCGUCCUGCCCGGCCGCAGCCGGCUCUGCGCCGCGACGCCUACCUGGUUGUCCGUGGGGGGCUCGCAGUGCGGGAUCCUGCCCGCCCUGAUCACGGUGGCGGCAGCUCCGUGGCAGAUCCGCGACUCGGGGCUCAGCGUGGCGCAGGCGGCAGCGGUGCGCGUGGCCCAGCCGUGCGUGGGGCCGCCCGCGGGGCCGCAGGUGGGCCGAGCGCCCGGUGCAUCCCGCUGCCCGCCGGCACUGCCGCGGCACCGCUCCGGGGCGCCGGGCGGCUCGCCCUGCCUGCACAGCCACAGGCCGGGGCCGUGUGGCACCGGGUGCCCGGGCAGCCCCCAGCCGUGCCCGCACUCCCGGCACGGCGCAGCUCCGUCGUCCCGCUCCCAGGGGCAGGCGCUGCUCAGCACCUCCACGGUGGCGCAGCAGCCAUGGAAGGCGUGCCAGGUGGGCCCGCGGCGCAGCGCCUCGCCGCCCUGCCCGCGGCACCCGCUGCCGUGGCUCCCCCAGGGCGGGCCGUGGCGCGGCUCGGGCCGGGCGCUGUGGCGGGGUGCUCCCCCGCCGCCCCCCUCCGGCCCGGCCGCCAGCGCCUGGCCCGGGCUCUCGCCGUGGCCCUGGAAGCGCGCCUUGGCCCGCUGGAAGCGGCGGUUGUGGCGGCGCAGCCUCUCCAGGGAGGCGGUGGGGGCCACGGGGCCUGGCCGGUUGUUCUCCUCGGGGACGUCCUCGCGCACCGGGGGGACCUCGGCGGCCGCUGCCGGGACCUGCUGGCUCAGGAACUCCUCCAGCAUCUGGGCGGCCAGGCUGGUGGUGAUGAAGGAGCGGUCGAUGGCGGGGCCCGGCCCUGACGGCCCCGGGCUGAGCUUGCAGGAGGCCGCCAGCAUGGUGCCCAGCGCCUCCUCCGUGCCCGGCUUCAGGCUGGCGCUGCCGGCAGGCGAGGAGGCGUCAGCAGAGCCCCCGGAGCCCCCCAGGCUCUCGGCAGAGCGUGUGGAUGCGCUGGGGCUGCCGGGACGCUUGGCGGGGCCGGGGCAGGGCAGGGGGCUGCUGGCGCAGCCCCCCUGGGCGUCACAGCAGCAGGAGGGGCUCCCACAGGCGGCGGGUGGCCGCGCAUCUGGCUCCGGCACGCUGCUGCCUGCACAGCGGCUGCAGCACUUCAUGGCAGGCUGGCGAUGGGGGGGUCCUCCUGCGGGGCGGGGGGAAAGCAGGUGGAGAGGGGUCGGCCUCGCUGCGCCGGCCUCAGGCACGGCUGGGAUGCGGCACCCGCAGCCACCGCACCGUGCCAGGCACUGCCCACCUUGUGCAGCACAAGGGGACUGCGGGGCAGCGGGUGUAGCUCCUCCCAGCCAUAACCAUAACCACAAGCACAACCAUAACCACAAAUAUAACCACAGCCACAACCACACACAUAACCGUAACCGUAACCACAGCCAUAACAACAACUGUAGCCAAAGCCAUAACCACAGCCACAACCACAACCAUAACCACAGCCAUAGCCACAACCAUAACCAUAAAACCAUAACAACAACCACAACCAUAGCUACAGCCACAGCCACAAACAUAACCACAACCACAACCGCAACCGCAACCGUAACCGUAACCGUAACCAUAACCAUAACCAUAACUGUAUCCACAACCACAACCACAGCCACAGCCACAACCACAAAACCACAACCAUGA